GACGAACGCUGGCGGCGUGCUUAACACAUGCAAGUCGAACGGAAAGGCCCUGCUUUUGUGGGGUGCUCGAGUGGCGAACGGGUGCGUAACACGUGAGUAUCCUGCCCUUGACUUUGGGAUAACUUCAGGAAACUGGGGCUAAUACCGGAUAGGAGCCCCUGCUGCAUGGUGGGGGUUGGAAAGUUUCGGCGGGUGGGGAUGGACUCGCGGCUUAUCAGCUUGUUGGUGGGGUAGUGGCUUACCAAGGCUUUGACGGGUAGCCGGCCUGAGAGGGGGACCGGCCACAUUGGUACUGAGAUAGGGCCCAGUCUCCUACGGGAGGCAGCAGUGGGGAAUAUUACACAAUGGGAGGGAGCCUGAUGAAGAGACGCCGCGUUCGGGAAGACGGCCUUCGGGUUGUGAACCGCUUUCGCUUGUGACGAAGCGUGAGUGACGGUAAUGUGUAAAGAAGCACCGGCUAACUACGUG
This 468-nucleotide ribosomal RNA is filed under the name uncultured bacterium. RNAcentral's name for it is "partial 16S ribosomal RNA". It matches the Rfam family "Bacterial small subunit ribosomal RNA", at positions 28 to 507 of the family's 1533-position model. The record is from RNAcentral.